UCAUCCCCUCUCUUUCUACAAUUACGCUGCAACACACAAGAAAAACAUCAAAAGCUCUCAUCUCUUUGCAUUUUAAACCCAAUAUCACCACCAUUAUUAUUAAUAACAACACCACCAUCACCGCUGCCAAAGAUCUACAGAUCUGUCUUGCAUCUUUUUCUUCACUGGCCAAACCCUCCAACUGAUCUGUUGUCGAAAGCAAAGGUCCGGUUGUAAACAUGGGGAAGAAGAAGGAGCGGCUGAAUCCAGAUGCAGACAUGAAGCUCACAGUAACAAGAAAAAGAACAAAAAGACAUGAAGCCCACACUAUCAGCAUAGUCGUUCCUCCUUCUCAUCAGAUCUGUCUUGGUUUUUUUUCCCGCUGGAUAAACAUCAUCAGAUCUGCUCCUUCAAUUGGCUCUCAACUGAGUUUUUUUAUUUUUUAUUAGU
This 429-nucleotide long non-coding RNA is filed under the name Trifolium pratense (red clover). Its description in RNAcentral is "long non-coding RNA (TPRA_LNC004798)". Lineage: Eukaryota; Viridiplantae; Streptophyta; Magnoliopsida; Fabales; Fabaceae. The record is from RNAcentral.